CCAAAAUGCUUCUAGGGUUCCGGUUGAAGUUAUAAAAUGCUUGAACGACAGGUCCGAGAGAAGCGAGCUAGGCUUGAGCAAUUUCAAAAGAAUUCAAGUUAGCUGCACGGCGGGAAAAAAGCCCGGGAGGU
This 131-nucleotide small RNA is filed under the name Pleurocapsa sp. RNAcentral's name for it is "Guanidine-I sequence". It matches the Rfam family "Guanidine-I riboswitch aptamer". From Rfam's summary of the family: This family represents a conserved RNA structure found upstream of the ykkC and yxkD genes in Bacillus subtilis and related genes in other bacteria. The record is from RNAcentral. RNAcentral also lists the same sequence under 1 other name. Lineage: Bacteria; Bacillati; Cyanobacteriota; Cyanophyceae; Pleurocapsales; Pleurocapsaceae.